This 292-nucleotide ribosomal RNA is filed under the name uncultured bacterium. RNAcentral describes it as "partial 16S ribosomal RNA". It matches the Rfam family "Bacterial small subunit ribosomal RNA", at positions 505 to 796 of the family's 1533-position model. The record is from RNAcentral.
GUGCCAGCCGCCGCGGUAAUACGAAGGGUGCGAGCGUUGCUCGGAAUUACUGGGCGUAAAGCGUACGCAGGCGGUCUAUCAAGUCAGGCGUGAAAGACCGGGGCUCAACCCCGGGAAGUCGUCUGAAACUGAGAGACUUGAGUACGGGAGAGGGGUGUGGAAUUCCCAGUGUAGAAGUGAAAUUCGUAGAUAUUGGGAGGAACACCGGUGGCGAAGGCGACACCCUGGCCCGAAACUGACGCUCAGGUACGAAAGCGUGGGGAGCAAACAGGAUUAGAAACCCCCGUAGUCC